CCCUUAGAUGUUCUGGGCCGCACGCGCGCUACACUGAUGCAUUCAACGAGCCUAUCCUUGACCGACAGGUCCGGGUAAUCUUUGAAUCUGCAUCGUGACGGGGAUAGAUUAUUGCAAUUAUUAAUCUUCAACGAGGAAUGCCUAGUAGGCGCAAGUCAUCAGCUUGCGUCGAUUACGUCCCUGCCCUUUGUACACACCGCCCGUCGCUCCUACCGAUUGGGUUUGCUGGUGAAAUGUUCGGAUCGGCCGUUUGUCGCGGUUUCCGCGUCAUGUGGCUGAGAAGUUCAUUAAACCCUCCCACCUAGAGGAAGGAGAAGUCGUAACA
This 325-nucleotide ribosomal RNA is filed under the name uncultured eukaryote. RNAcentral's name for it is "partial 18S ribosomal RNA". It matches the Rfam family "Eukaryotic small subunit ribosomal RNA", at positions 1470 to 1796 of the family's 1831-position model. The record is from RNAcentral.